UGGCCAAGUUGGCUCAAGGUCCUAUAGCUUUAAGAGUAAGAUGUGUAUAAAAGAUUGGUGUUCCCAGAUUUUUGAAGAAUUUGAAGGGCUUAGAAAAUGGAGCUGCUGGGGAAAGUAGGGUCAUGCCUGAAGAGGAGCACUGGAACGCCGAAGUAGAGGUGCAGUUGCCUGAUGUGAAGAAUGUGUGUUGCAGAGGCCACAUUGAACAGUUGGUCUCUGGCGGGGAGCCUCAGACAGGACACUGAGAAGUCACUGCAGGGCCUGAGUCGCUGAGCCUGCAUGGCAGCACAGAGAACUGGAAUGCCUUAAAAUAAAAAUUGCAAAUGCAACAGAUUUAAUCAA
Molecule: long non-coding RNA, 342 nt
Filed under: Rattus norvegicus (Norway rat)
Lineage: Eukaryota; Metazoa; Chordata; Mammalia; Rodentia; Muridae
Description: long non-coding RNA NONRATT006686
Source: RNAcentral